AUUGAACGCUGGCGGCAUGCCUUACACAUGCAAGUCGAACGGCAGCACGGGUGCUUGCCCCUGGUGGCGAGUGGCGAACGGGUGAGUAAUACAUCGGAACAUGUCCUGUAGUGGGGGAUAGCCCGGCGAAAGCCGGAUUAAUACCGCAUACGAUCUACGGAUGAAAGCGGGGGGCCUUCGGGCCUCGCGCUAUAGGGUUGGCCGAUGGCUGAUUAGCUAGUUGGUGGGGUAAAGGCCUACCAAGGCGACGAUCAGUAGCUGGUCUGAGAGGACGACCAGCCACACUGGGACUGAGACACGGCCCAGACUCCUACGGGAGGCAGCAGUGGGGAAUUUUGGACAAUGGGCGAAAGCCUGAUCCAGCAAUGCCGCGUGUGUGAAGAAGGCCUUCGGGUUGUAAAGCACUUUUGUCCGGAAAGAAAUCCUUGGCCCUAAUACGGUCGGGGGAUGACGGUACCGGAAGAAUAAGCACCGGCUAACUACGU
This 485-nucleotide ribosomal RNA is filed under the name uncultured bacterium. Its description in RNAcentral is "partial 16S ribosomal RNA". It matches the Rfam family "Bacterial small subunit ribosomal RNA", at positions 30 to 506 of the family's 1533-position model. The record is from RNAcentral.